UUCAUAAGCGGAGGAAAAGAAACCAACAGGGAUUGCCCUAGUAACGGCGAGUGAAGCGGCAACAGCUCAAAUUUGAAAUCUGGCUCUUUUAGAGUCCGAGUUGUAAUUUGCAGAGGGCGCUUUGGCUUUGGCAGCGGUCCAAGUUCCUUGGAACAGGACGUCACAGAGGGUGAGAAUCCCGUACGUGGUCGCUGGCUAUUGCCGUGUAAAGCCCCUUCGACGAGUCGAGUUGUUUGGGAAUGCAGCUCUAAAUGGGAGGUACAUUUCUUCUAAAGCUAAAUAUUGGCCAGAGACCGAUAGCGCACAAGUAGAGUGAUCGAAAGAUGAAAAGCACUUUGGAAAGAGAGUCAAACAGCACGUGAAAUUGUUGAAAGGGAAGCGCUUGCAGCCAGACUUGCUUACAGUUGCUCAUCCGGGUUUCUACCCGGUGCACUCUUCUGUAGGCAGGCCAGCAUCAGUUUGGGCGGUAGGAUAAAGGUCUCUGUCACGUACCUCCUUUCGGGGAGGCCUUAUAGGGGAGACGACAUACUACCAGCCUGGACUGAGGUCCGCGCAUCUGCUAGGAUGCUGGCGUAAUGGCUGUAAGCGGCCCGUCUUGAAACACGGACCAAGGAGUCUAACAUCUAUGCGAGUGUUUGGGUGUCAAGCCCGAGCGCGUAAUGAAAGUGAACGGAGGUGGGAACCCGCAAGGGUGCACCAUCGACCGAUCCUGAUGUCUUCGGAAGGAUUUGAGUAAGAGCAUGGCUGUUGGGACCCGAAAGAUGGUGAACUAUGCUUGAAUAGGGUGAAGCCAGAGGAAACUCUGGUGGAGGCUCGCAGCGGUUCUGACGUGCAAAUCGAUCGUCAAAUUUGGGCAUAGGGGCGAAAGACUAAUCGAACUAUCUAGUAGCUGGUCUGCAGAAAAUCCCCCC
RNAcentral lists this ribosomal RNA (911 nucleotides) under Alternaria alternata. RNAcentral describes it as "partial large subunit ribosomal RNA". It matches the Rfam family "Eukaryotic large subunit ribosomal RNA", at positions 43 to 974 of the family's 3401-position model. The record is from RNAcentral. Lineage: Eukaryota; Fungi; Ascomycota; Dothideomycetes; Pleosporales; Pleosporaceae.